RNAcentral lists this ribosomal RNA (461 nucleotides) under uncultured bacterium. RNAcentral describes it as "bacterial SSU rRNA". It matches the Rfam family "Bacterial small subunit ribosomal RNA", at positions 28 to 507 of the family's 1533-position model. The record is from RNAcentral.
GAUGAACGCUGGCGGCGUGCUUAAUACAUGCAAGUCGAACGGAGACAAUAGCAAUAUUGUCUUAGUGGCGAACGGGUGAGUAACGCGUUGGUGACCUGCCCCGAAGAGGGGGAUAACAGUCCGAAAGGAUUGCUAAUACCCCAUGUGGUCAUAUGGAUUAGAUGCCUAAUGACUAAACGGAUUUAUUCGCUUCGGGAGGGGCCUGCGUCCCAUCAGCUAGUUGGUAAGGUAAUGGCUUACCAAGGCGAUGACGGGUAGGGGACCUGAGAGGGUGGCCCCCCACAAUGGAACUGAAACACGGUCCAUACACCUACGGGUGGCAGCAGUAGGGAAUAUUGGUAAUCUGGGAAACCGGGAACCAGCAACGCCGCGUGCACGAUGAAGGCCUUCGGUCGUAAAGUGCUUUUUGUAAGGGAUGAGGAAGGACAGUACCUUCAGAAUAAGCCUCGGCUAACUACGUG